Molecule: ribosomal RNA, 253 nt
Filed under: uncultured bacterium
Lineage: Bacteria
Description: partial 16S ribosomal RNA
Rfam family: Bacterial small subunit ribosomal RNA
Source: RNAcentral
UACGUAGGGUGCGAGCGUUAAUCGGAAUUACUGGGCGUAAAGCGUGCGCAGGCGGCUUUGCAAGACAGAUGUGAAAUCCCCGGGCUCAACCUGGGAACUGCAUUUGUGACUGCAUGGCUUGAGUGCGGCAGAGGGGGAUGGAAUUCCGCGUGUAGCAGUGAAAUGCGUAGAUAUGCGGAGGAACACCGAUGGCGAAGGCAAUCCCCUGGGCCUGCACUGACGCUCAUGCACGAAAGCGUGGGGAGCAAACAGG